UUUGUGCGAGUACGAGUUGCAUUGCACGCGGCCGACCCAGUUGCAUCGUUUGGUGUUCCUUUUCGGGCGGCGCAGCGCCGUCUGAAUCGUAAAUUGGCAGCACGUUCCACACGGCAAAAAUAUUCGGAUGUCAGGCAUUCACUUUAGGGUUGACCGAAAAUGUGGCGGCUGGGCAGAAAAUUAAAGACAAACAUCAUCAUCAUCGCCCCGAGUAACAGAAACUUUCGUCACGUCCGCUUGAAGACCCGAACAAACCGACAAACCACCAGCAAACCAGCAAACCAACAAACCAGGUGAGAGCAAACACCGACGAGGAGCGCCUGUUCUCGAGGGCCACUGGGCGAGGGCAGACAGGUGCAAAGUGCACAGGACGACUCAUUGAAUUGCGAGGACAAUGCCUCUUCAGUCGCCUAUCUACCAGCCACCUCGCCACUCCUCACCACUCCUUGCCACUCAUCACCACUCCUCGACAAGGACGCGUCUUGGGCUGCGACUUUAAGCUGAAGUGUUUAAAAUUGUUGGCCAUUAUCAGCGGCUGUCAAUAAACGCAUUAAAACAUUUUUGCGAUUCGCGAGCUCGUUGACGGCUGAUGGCGCAGACACGCGGCUGUCAGGCAGUCGAGGAAACUGUGAAGCGGAAACUGCAAGCGCAGAGCUGCUGCACUAACGAGUCCCAUUGAUUUUCGCCCGCCGGAAGGGCGGCGGCACGCGAGGAAGAGCGCCGGAGCGAGGAUGGGAGAUGUGCGCACGCUGCGUAUGAGUAAUGGGAAAAUUCUUAAUGGGCGAAGAAAAUUGGUUGCGCAUAAACAAUGAGAUUCCUGCGACCGGGGAGAAUGAUAAUGAGUUCGCCGAGCACGGACCACCGGAAAGUGGGCGAACGGAGCCCGCGAUGGAGUACGUGUGCCAAACGCACCAAAUAUUCUAUUACGGACUUUUCAAUCUUAUCCAAUAUGCACCGCAUAGGGAAGAAUUUUCCAUUUUAAUAAGAGCCUUAUUAAAGAAAGCUCUGGAGGUGGAGGGUUUUUUUGGUAAAGAGCAUUAGGUGCCUAUUUGAAUUUUUGAAAUUUAAGAAGAAGUGCAAUAUGGUCGUAUGGACACACUUACGCACUCAAUAAGAUUUUUAUUAACCACCAGCCCCUCCCCAGAGUUCUUUCGUCAGCUACUUGCUCCUUGGCGUCUCACCAAACAGUCUCAUUAAUGCGAUACUUUCGUUACGCAAUCAGUAAUUUAUGAUUCAUACGCGUAUUAAUUCCGUAUCGGAGCACUUAUUGCAGCUCCUUGCACUCUGUGUCGCCCACUCGCCGUUUUAAUCCUUUAUUCAUGCAAUAUUUAAUCAGUAUUUUCCAGCGAGUUUAACCGUUCUUUAUGAAAUUAUAAUGAUUUCUCCGCCUCCUUUAUUUAAUUGUUUAAUUUUCUUUUAAUUUCCGAGCAUUCCCGCAUUUUUAUCGGCCCCUUGUUGACCCAAUGCCACGCAUAUCGAAGCCGUUUCGAGGGAAAAUUGUGCGUUAUUCGAAUAAAUUGACGCAGGGCUGAGUGGGGCACAACCCGAUUUCCAUAACGAAUAAAAGAUAAUAGGGCGAUUCGCCGAAGGACUUAUCAGCCAAAGUGGACGUCCUUUUUAACCCAGGGGCAUUUCAGUUAAUUACUCCACCUGCUAAUUGUACACGAAGUGGGAGUUUCGACCCUCGGUUGCCGUCAGGAUUAAAAGAGCAUUCAUAAAACUACCGCCUAAGGAGUUAGAAAAUUAGCCCUUGCACUUUUCCAUUAUUUCAAAUUUGAAAAUUCCAGUCAAGAAAGGAUUUUCAUGCUUUACUGCAAGGCAAGAUUUAACUUUAUUGUUUUUGGAAAGUGUAAUCCUUUUGGUUAUGACUUUAAUAUUUUGAAACAAUAAAUAUUAUAUGCAUAAUAUAUAUACUUUUUCUGUGCGCCUUACGAAUUAACUUUUUCCUAUGAAAUUAAAUUUAAAAUGUUCACGAAAUUUCCAAAACAAGCUUCAUAAAAAAUUGCACACGCAGUACAAACGUUCAGACACAUUUCAUAAAAAAUUGUUAAAUUGAUUUGCAUAAAUAAAUUUAUUGCAGCUAUUAAAAUUAAUAGAAAGUUAUAUUAUUUUUUAAUUUUCCUUGAAAAAUGUUCUAUGUCAGUUAGUUAGUGAGCAGUCAGUAAACGCUUAAAAAAUGCACAAAAAAGCGGAAAAUACAUCGACACUUGGAAACAAAAUUGGGCAAAAGAGAAGAGAUUAUUACUCAAAAAAUCAAUUUAAACAUUUUAUUUUAUUUAAAAUGAAAAGCUCCCCAGUUGAAAGGUUUAUGCAAAGCACCGUACUUACUUGCACUUGGGGCAGUAGUUUGUAUCCCCAGUCUGUGUCACCUGCUAUCGCCCGGAAUUCGUGCUGAACAGUGUAAUAUUUUAUUCAAAUGCGCUGCUGCUGUUUGUCCUGCCUAUUUGUCCUGCUCGUCGAUAUAUCAUUUGGAAGCUGCCGAAAAAAAGACACUGACAGGACGACAAAUUUGCCCGCUAUUUAUGCGGCGGCAAACAGGAGAGGCCAUCGACCAUCCACCAUCCACUAUCCACCAUCGACCAUCGGAUCCGAAGUAGCUGGACAAGCCGCCGCAGUGCAGCUAGAAUUCAAGGAGAGUGGGGUGCAGUUCGCUGGCUAUGUAAAUAGUUAUGGCCAGCGAAAUCAAAACUAAAGCAAUUCCAAAUAUAAUUAAUUGCAAUUGACCCGAUUUGUAAUUUAUUUAUUUA
Long non-coding RNA from Drosophila sechellia, 2747 nucleotides. RefSeq lists it as uncharacterized. The transcript is spliced from 3 exons. The record is from RefSeq and is a predicted model, not a curated record. NCBI's taxonomy places the organism in Eukaryota, Metazoa, Arthropoda, Insecta, Diptera, Drosophilidae.